This 73-nucleotide transfer RNA is filed under the name Camelus bactrianus (Bactrian camel). It matches the Rfam family "tRNA". From Rfam's summary of the family: Transfer RNA (tRNA) molecules are approximately 80 nucleotides in length. The record is from Rfam by way of RNAcentral. Lineage: Eukaryota; Metazoa; Chordata; Mammalia; Artiodactyla; Camelidae. RNAcentral also lists the same sequence under 1 other name.
GAGGGUACAGCUCAAGUGGUAGAGUGCAUGCUUAGCAUGCAUGAGGUCCUGGGUUCAAUUCCCAGUACCUCCA